Molecule: long non-coding RNA, 202 nt
Filed under: Aquilegia coerulea
Lineage: Eukaryota; Viridiplantae; Streptophyta; Magnoliopsida; Ranunculales; Ranunculaceae
Description: long non-coding RNA (ACOE_LNC000387)
Source: RNAcentral
GAGAGAGAAGAGAGAGAAAGCUUUUCUGGUCUGAAGGAAAGAAAGAAAGAAGUCUGUGUGUGUGUCUAUGUGGAGAGAGAGAGAGAGAGAGAGAGAGAGAGAGAGAGAGAGAUGAAACAGAAACAAGGCUCGAGCUUCAGUGGUUUUGUCGAGAAAGUAGCGUAGAUAUAUACGGAUAUCUAUGUACAGGCAGAAUGUGUAC